This 460-nucleotide ribosomal RNA is filed under the name uncultured bacterium. Its description in RNAcentral is "partial 16S ribosomal RNA". It matches the Rfam family "Bacterial small subunit ribosomal RNA", at positions 338 to 795 of the family's 1533-position model. The record is from RNAcentral.
CCUACGGGCGGCAGCAGUGAGGAAUAUUGGUCAAUGGACGAGAGUCUGAACCAGCCAAGUAGCGUGAAGGAUGACUGCCCUAUGGGUUGUAAACUUCUUUUAUAAAGGAAUAAAACGAGGCACGUGUGCCUUUUUGCAUGUACUUUAUGAAUAAGGAUCGGCUAACUCCGUGCCAGCAGCCGCGGUAAUACGGAGGAUCCGAGCGUUAUCCGGAUUUAUUGGGUUUAAAGGGAGCGUAGAUGGGUUGUUAAGUCAGUUGUGAAAGUUUGCGGCUCAACCUUAAAAUUGCAAUUGAUACUGGCAGUCGUGAGUACAGUUGAGGUAAGCGGAAUGCGUGGUGUAGCGGUGAAAUGCUUAGAUAUCACGAAGAACCCCGAUUGCGAAGGCAGCUUACUAAACUGUGACUGACAUUGAUGCUCGAAAGUGUGGGUAUCAAACAGGAUUAGAUACCCGAGUAGUC